GCCUUUGUCUCACUUCAGCCAGAGAGCGGGGUUAGGGCUUCAUUGCCUUGUGUCCUCUGCUCCGGGAGACUUCGGUGAUUCUGCCACUCCCUCCGUCGCUCUGUGACCUGCUGGCAUUGAAUGAUUUAUAGCUAAGACUCCAGGACACCCCUGAAGCCGAGAAAUGAAAUCCCAAGUUGACCGUCAAGUCCAACGCUCGCUGCAGACAUCUAGUGGACCCGGCGCUCGCGGACGGAAGCGGACAGACCUAGUUGGAUCCUUAUCCCACCAAUCUGGCCCACCUUUGCUGCCAUCUAACUCCGCUGACCGGCCCACCGUUCCUCCACUGUUCGCUGGUUGACCCGGGCAGCGGAGAGAGGAGGCGGCACCAACAGAAGGCUUCUGCAAAGCUGAGAGCUCCUUUUACCCAUGGAUCAGGAGCAGAGUUUGCAGCUACACUGUCAGGCUGUGUUUGGAUGUUAGCAGUUAGUUUAGCUUUGCGUCUUCAGAGCAAUUGUUCUUAGCUACUUAAAAAAAGAAAAGAAAAGAAAGGAAAAUUUAAAAUUUUCUUCAUUGAUCAUUCAGGAGCAUGUUUAAUUUCCAUGUAUUUGUACAAUUUCAAAAGUUCACCUUGUUGUUGACUUCUAGUUUUAUUCCAUUGUGGUCAGGAAAGAUACUCGAUAUAAUUUCAAUUAUUUUAAAUUUGUUGAGACUUGUUUUGUGGCCUAACAUAUGGUCUAUUCUGGAGAAUGUUUCUUGUGCUGAUGAAAGAAUGUGUUUUUUGCAUCUGUUGGAUGAAAUGUUCUGUAAAUGUCUCUUUGUUAGUCUAAAAUGCAGUUUUUUGUUUUUUGUUUUUUUAGGAGAGUCUCACUCUGUUGCCCAGGCUGGAGUGCAGUAGCAUGAUCUUGACUCACUGCAACCUCCACCUCCCAGGUUCAAGCAAUUCUCAUGCCUCAGCCUCCCAAGUAGCUGGAAUUACAGAUGCCCACCACCACACCCAGCCAAUUUUUGUAUUUUUAGUAGAGACAGUGUUUUACCAUGCUGGCCAGGCUGGUCUCAAACUCCUGGCCUCAAGGGAUCCGCCUGCCUUGGCCUCCCAAGGUGCUGGUACUAUAGGUGUGAGCCACCGCAUCCAGCCUAAAGUACAGUAUAAAUCUAAUGUUUUGUUUUUGAUCUUCUAUCUAGACAAUCUGUUCAGUGCUGAGAAUGGGGUAUUGAAUUCCCCAGCUAUUGUAUUGGCAUCUAUAUCUCCCUUUAGACCUAAUAAUAUUUGGUUUAUAUUAUAUAUCUCGGUGCUCCAGUGUUGGGUGCAUAUAUAUUUAGAAUUGUUACAUCCUUUUGCUGAAUUGAUCCCUUUAUCAAUAUAUAAUAACCUUCAUCUUUUUUUAAUCA
This 1371-nucleotide long non-coding RNA is filed under the name Homo sapiens (human). RNAcentral's name for it is "uncharacterized LOC105377134, transcript variant 2 (LOC105377134)". Lineage: Eukaryota; Metazoa; Chordata; Mammalia; Primates; Hominidae. The record is from RNAcentral.